Long non-coding RNA from Carya illinoinensis, 721 nucleotides. RefSeq lists it as uncharacterized. NCBI's taxonomy places the organism in Eukaryota, Viridiplantae, Streptophyta, Magnoliopsida, Fagales, Juglandaceae. The transcript has 2 exons. The record is from RefSeq and is a predicted model, not a curated record.
CACACUAGAGAUAGUCUAUAAAUAUAUGGGAGCGGUAGUCCUGUAGUGUAGAUUGGCACCAAUAUCAUAUUAUAUAAUAUCAAGUACAUACUCUGGACAUGAAGGCCAUUCUACUACUUUUCUGCCUUCUCUUGGCUUCCUCUAUUCUGGUUCCUUCUUCGGUUUUAGCUCGAGCAUUAGUUGGCAGACAGCUAGACGAGCUAGCAGCACCCCCAACGUCGACGUCUCCUGUUGUAACUAGGCCGCCGGUGUCGCCAAGUAACCCAAGGGGCUCCGUGUGCCCACGCACCCCGCCUGGACGACCAUAUACACCUGCAUGUUUCCCGAUCCCGAGGCCUCGGCCACCAAUAAGUUGUGGUGGUCUGUACAAGCGUAAUUGCCCCCCGGCCCCUUGAGAUGAGAAGCAUGCAGUGACAUAUAUGCACCAUGCAUAUAUAAAGGUUCAGCAAUAUUAAUUUUAUAUAUAUGACAUCACACUACUAGUUACAUUGUACGACAUCUUUCUGAUGGAAGUCGAUCGAACAGCGAAGGUUUUUAUAAGAAUAAAGUUAGUAAGUAAUUUUGAGUAAUAUAUUAGUAUUUAUGAUCUCUCGCUGUGUUCGAUCUGCAAUAUAUAUAUAUAUAUAUAUGUGUGUGUGUGUGUACACUAUGGUUUGAUGUAAUUUUAAGAUGUUAAAUAAAAGAGCCGACUGAAGUACGUACUCAGUCCGCUAAUUAAUGA